RNAcentral lists this ribosomal RNA (437 nucleotides) under uncultured Ascomycota. RNAcentral's name for it is "SSU rRNA". It matches the Rfam family "Eukaryotic small subunit ribosomal RNA", at positions 321 to 761 of the family's 1831-position model. Lineage: Eukaryota; Fungi; Ascomycota. The record is from RNAcentral.
UUCGAUGGUAGGAUAGAGGCCUACCAUGGUAUCAACGGGUAACGGGGAAUUAGGGUUCGACUCCGGAGAGGGAGCCUGAGAAACGGCUACCACAUCCAAGGAAGGCAGCAGGCGCGCAAAUUACCCAAUCCCGACACGGGGAGGUAGUGACAAUAAAUACUGAUACAGGGCUCUUUUGGGUCUUGUAAUUGGAAUGAGUACAAUUUAAAUCCCUUAACGAGGAACAAUUGGAGGGCAAGUCUGGUGCCAGCAGCCGCGGUAAUUCCAGCUCCAAUAGCGUAUAUUAAAGUUGUUGCAGUUAAAAAGCUCGUAGUUGAACCUAGGGCCUGGCUGGCCGGUCCGCCUCACCGCGUGUACUAGUCCGGCCGGGCCUUUCCUUCUGGGGAACCUCAUGCCCUUCACUGGGCGUGUUGGGGAUCCAGGACUUUUACUUUGGA